This 253-nucleotide ribosomal RNA is filed under the name uncultured bacterium. Its description in RNAcentral is "partial 16S ribosomal RNA". It matches the Rfam family "Bacterial small subunit ribosomal RNA", at positions 524 to 776 of the family's 1533-position model. The record is from RNAcentral.
UACAGAGGGUGCGAGCGUUAAUCGGAAUUACUGGGCGUAAAGCGUGCGCAGGCGGUUCGCUGUGUCCGAUGUGAAAGCCCCGGGCUUAACCUGGGAAUGGCAUUGGAAACUGGCGGGCUUGAGUGUGGCAGAGGGGGGUGGAAUUCCGCGUGUAGCAGUGAAAUGCGUAGAGAUGCGGAGGAACACCGAUGGCGAAGGCAGCCCCCUGGGCUAACACUGACGCUCAGGCACGAAAGCGUGGGGAGCAAACAGG